GAUGAACGCUGGCGGCGUGCUUAACACAUGCAAGUCGAACGGGAAAUAUUUCAUUGAGACUUCGGUGGAUUUGAUCUAUUUCUAGUGGCGGACGGGUGAGUAACGCGUGGGUAACCUGCCUUAUACAGGGGGAUAACAGUCAGAAAUGGCUGCUAAUACCGCAUAAGCGCACAGAGCUGCAUGGCUCAGUGUGAAAAACUCCGGUGGUAUAAGAUGGACCCGCGUUGGAUUAGCUUGUUGGUGGGGUAACGGCUCACCAAGGCGACGAUCCAUAGCCGGCCUGAGAGGGUGAACGGCCACAUUGGGACUGAGACACGGCCCAGACUCCUACGGGAGGCAGCAGUGGGGAAUAUUGCACAAUGGGGGGAACCCUGAUGCAGCGACGCCGCGUGAAGGAAGAAGUAUCUCGGUAUGUAAACUUCUAUCAGCAGGGAAGAUAGUGACGGUACCUGACUAAGAAGCCCCGGCUAACUACGUGCCAGCAGCCGCGGUAAUACGUAGGGGGCAAGCGUUAUCCGGAUUUACUGGGUGUAAAGGGAGCGUAGACGGUGUGGCAAGUCUGAUGUGAAAGGCAUGGGCUCAACCUGUGGACUGCAUUGGAAACUGUCAUACUUGAGUGCCGGAGGGGUAAGCGGAAUUCCUAGUGUAGCGGUGAAAUGCGUAGAUAUUAGGAGGAACACCAGUGGCGAAGGCGGCUUACUGGACGGUAACUGACGUUGAGGCUCGAAAGCGUGGGGAGCAAACAAGAUUAGAUACCCUGGUAGUCCACGCCGUAAACGAU
This 781-nucleotide ribosomal RNA is filed under the name uncultured bacterium. RNAcentral describes it as "bacterial SSU rRNA". It matches the Rfam family "Bacterial small subunit ribosomal RNA", at positions 28 to 810 of the family's 1533-position model. The record is from RNAcentral.